AGAUUUUCCUUGCACAAAAGAUGAUGAUAUACAAGUGCAAUCUUGUGGGCAAGCCUGUGGUCACCGCGACUCAGAUGCUUGAAUCAAUGAUCAAGUCUCCUCGGCCAACUCGUGCUGAAGCUACUGAUGUUGCCAAUGCUGUUCUUGACGGCACUGAUUGUGUAAUGCUUAGUGGUGAGAGUGCAGCUGGGGCCUACCCGGAGAUUGCUGUUAAGAUCAUGCGACGAAUUUGCAUCGAGGCUGAAUCCUCCCUUGAUUAUAGGGCUGUGUUUAAGGAGAUGAUUAGAUCAACUCCUC
Molecule: long non-coding RNA, 297 nt
Filed under: Citrus maxima (pomelo)
Lineage: Eukaryota; Viridiplantae; Streptophyta; Magnoliopsida; Sapindales; Rutaceae
Description: long non-coding RNA (CMAX_LNC001034)
Source: RNAcentral